CACACUAUCGUUAACUGAAUACAUAGGUUAACGAGGCGAACCGGGGGAACUGAAACAUCUAAGUACCCCGAGGAAAAGAAAUCAACCGAGAUUCCCCCAGUAGCGGCGAGCGAACGGGGAGCAGCCCAGAGUCUGAAUCAGCUUGUGUGUUAGUGGAAGCGUCUGGAAAGUCGCACGGUACAGGGUGACAGUCCCGUACACGAAAGCACACAGGUUGUGAACUCGAAGAGUAGGGCGGGACACGUGGUAUCCUGUCUGAAUAUGGGGGGACCAUCCUCCAAGGCUAAAUACUCCUGACUGACCGAUAGUGAACCAGUACCGUGAGGGAAAGGCGAAAAGAACCCCGGCGAGGGGAGUGAAAAAGAACCUGAAACCGUGUACGUACAAGCAGUGGGAGCACCUUCGUGGUGUGACUGCGUACCUUUUGUAUAAUGGGUCAGCGACUUAUAUUCUGUAGCAAGGUUAACCGUAUAGGGGAGCCGAAGGGAAACCGAGUCUUAACUGGGCGUUAAGUUGCAGGGUAUAGACCCGAAACCCGGUGAUCUAGCCAUGGGCAGGUUGAAGGUUGGGUAACACUAACUGGAGGACCGAACCGACUAAUGUUGAAAAAUUAGCGGAUGACUUGUGGCUGGGGGUGAAAGGCCAAUCAAACCGGGAGAUAGCUGGUUCUCCCCGAAAGCUAUUUAGGUAGCGCCUCGUGAACUCAUCUUCGGGGGUAGAGCACUGUUUCGGCUAGGGGGCCAUCCCGGCUUACCAACCCGAUGCAAACUACGAAUACCGAAGAAUGUUAUCACGGGAGACACACGGCGGGUGCUAACGUCCGUCGUGAAGAGGGAAACAACCCAGACCGCCAGCUAAGGUCCCAAAGUCAUGGUUAAGUGGGAAACGAUGUGGGAAGGCACAGACAGCCAGGAUGUUGGCUUAGAAGCAGCCAUCAUUUAAAGAAAGCGUAAUAGCUCACUGGUCGAGUCGGCCUGCGCGGAAGAUGUAACGGGGCUAAACCAUGCACCGAAGCUGCGGCAGCGACGCUUAUGCGUUGUUGGGUAGGGGAGCGUUCUGUAAGCCGUUGAAGGUGGCCUGUGAGGGUUGCUGGAGGUAUCAGAAGUGCGAAUGCUGACAUAAGUAACGAUAAAGCGGGUGAAAAGCCCGCUCGCCGGAAGACCAAGGGUUCCUGUCCAACGUUAAUCGGGGCAGGGUGAGUCGACCCCUAAGGCGAGGCCGAAAGGCGUAGUCGAUGGGAAACAGGUUAAUAUUCCUGUACUUGGUGUUGCUGCGAAGGGGGGACGGAGAAGGCUAUGUUAGCCGGGCGACGGUUGUCCCGGUUUAAGCAUGUAGGCGGAGGUUCCAGGUAAAUCCGGUACCUUUUAACGCUGAGGUGUGAUGACGAGGCACUACGGUGCUGAAGUAACAAAUGCCCUGCUUCCAGGAAAAGCCUCUAAGCAUCAGGUAACAUGAAAUCGUACCCCAAACCGACACAGGUGGUCAGGUAGAGAAUACCAAGGCGCUUGAGAGAACUCGGGUGAAGGAACUAGGCAAAAUGGUGCCGUAACUUCGGGAGAAGGCACGCUGAUAUGUAGGUGAAGCCCCUGCGGGUGGAGCUGAAAUCAGUCGAAGAUACCAGCUGGCUGCAACUGUUUAUUAAAAACACAGCACUGUGCAAACACGAAAGUGGACGUAUACGGUGUGACGCCUGCCCGGUGCCGGAAGGUUAAUUGAUGGGGUUAGCGGCAACGCGAAGCUCUUGAUCGAAGCCCCGGUAAACGGCGGCCGUAACUAUAACGGUCCUAAGGUAGCGAAAUUCCUUGUCGGGUAAGUUCCGACCUGCACGAAUGGCGUAAUGAUGGCCAGGCUGUCUCCACCCGAGACUCAGUGAAAUUGAACUCGCUGUGAAGAUGCAGUGUACCCGCGGCAAGACGGAAAGACCCCGUGAACCUUUACUAUAGCUUGACACUGAACACUGGUCCUUGAUGUGUAGGAUAGGUGGGAGGCUUUGAAGCGUGGACGCCAGUCUGCGUGGAGCCGUCCUUGAAAUACCACCCUUUAAUGGCUGGUGUUCUAACGUAGACCCGUGAUCCGGGUUGCGGACAGUGUCUGGUGGGUAGUUUGACUGGGGCGGUCUCCUCCCAAAGAGUAACGGAGGAGCACGAAGGUUAGCUAAUCCUGGUCGGACAUCAGGAGGUUAGUGCAAUGGCAUAAGCUAGCUUGACUGCGAGAGUGACGGCUCGAGCAGGUGCGAAAGCAGGUCAUAGUGAUCCGGUGGUUCUGAAUGGAAGGGCCAUCGCUCAACGGAUAAAAGGUACUCCGGGGAUAACAGGCUGAUACCGCCCAAGAGUUCAUAUCGACGGCGGUGUUUGGCACCUCGAUGUCGGCUCAUCACAUCCUGGGGCUGAAGUAGGUCCCAAGGGUAUGGCUGUUCGCCAUUUAAAGUGGUACGCGAGCUGGGUUUAGAACGUCGUGAGACAGUUCGGUCCCUAUCUGCCGUGGGCGCUGGAGAAUUGAGGGGGGCUGCUCCUAGUACGAGAGGACCGGAGUGGACGCAUCACUGGUGUUCGGGUUGUCAUGCCAAUGGCACUGCCCGGUAGCUAAAUGCGGAAAAGAUAAGUGCUGAAAGCAUCUAAGCACGAAACUUGCCCCGAGAUGAGUUCUCCCUGACCCUUUAAGGGUCCUGAAGGAACGUUGAAGACGACGACGUUGAUAGGUCGGGUGUGUAAGCGCAGCGAUGCGUUGAGCUAACCGAUACUAAUGAACCGUGAGGCUUAACCUU
RNAcentral lists this ribosomal RNA (2764 nucleotides) under Enterobacter cloacae BWH 43. Its description in RNAcentral is "bacterial LSU rRNA". It matches the Rfam family "Bacterial large subunit ribosomal RNA". Lineage: Bacteria; Pseudomonadati; Pseudomonadota; Gammaproteobacteria; Enterobacterales; Enterobacteriaceae. The record is from RNAcentral.